Molecule: non-coding RNA, 1278 nt
Organism: Pogona vitticeps (central bearded dragon)
Lineage: Eukaryota; Metazoa; Chordata; Lepidosauria; Squamata; Agamidae
Source: RefSeq, a predicted model, not a curated record
CCCUAUUCCCUCACAGGCUCACAGAGCAGCGUGGCAUGAUUUAUAAAUCUAGCAGAGGCAACAAAGGUGAAGGAAUGAAACUGUAAUAUUGCUUAGGACGGAGGCGUGUGAAGAACUUAAGAAAAUGGUGUGGAUCUGUGAUCACAGUAUCACCUUUUGGGAUCAACAAUCCCUGCUACCGAUGGGCCUUGGUCCCCGUCUGGGUCUGGAAAGAAAACUUUGUUUCAGACUUGGAUGACAGCUGUUGCCGUCUACCAGGAAAACACAUGCCUGCCCAAACACCCAUGGAGAGGGGGAGAGAGAGAAACAGCACCACAGUGCUACAACUUUAAUCACUUGCUGUGUCCAGGAAUAGCCCCAGAUGGUGAAGAGGAUGGCGAGGGGAUGGACAACGAUUUCUGGAACUUGGGGAAGAACGUGUUUGAUCAAAACUAUUUUUUCUGAUUCACACAUGGGAUCUGAUCUCCACCCAGUCUUCCUCCCUCCCUCCCUGUUCUUGAUCCUGCUACCACAAAAAUGUGUGGAAGCUCCCUUUCCUCUGUUAUUCCUAGCAGGUGUCUGCAGUGUUCAAAGAUCUGAUGGCUGAUGCUCAGCAACAUACAUAGGGAAGAAAGGUAAAGAACAGGCUGGCAGGUCUGUUUCUGAAGAAAGUUGAUUUGGUUGACGCUUCGAUCUUACAGACUAACGUAAGAGGUGUGAUAGGGCAUGUUGUGACCUGGGUUGCUAUUGGCAGUGGCUCCUGCCACUGAGGAGCAAGCAACCAAAUGUUUUAUCCCCUUAUUUUAUAACAUUUUGGUAAAUUUCUGCCUGAAUGGGCCCUAGUUGAAUAUUGAUGUAUAUAAGAGUGGGAGAUGUUGUGCCCUUCCUGCCCAUAACUGCACACAGACUCUUCCAUGGCUGGUGAUAGGAUCCUUCGAACUAACCAUCUGUGGGCAAUUUGUACCAAGCUACCCCCCUUCCUUCCCCAGUCUACCCUUUCUGCAUAUUCUGGAACUGACUGGGCGCCUGGAUGCAAUUUGUGGCCAGAAAUCAACUCAUUGUGAGGCUUACAAUGCAUUCUGUGGGACAAAUGUUAUCUACUCACCAACAUGCUUCUAAAAUGUGCAGAACACUGCUUUUGUCAGUGAUGCCUCCACCUACUGAGAAUAUUUUAAAAUGUGCAACAAAAAUGAAUACCUUCGGGAAAAUAUAUAUAUACAAAAACACACCUUUUCCUCUGAAAACAAACAGCUAUGUGUAACCAGAAUAAAAUGAGCUUGUUAUUAAAACAUAUCAUUC